AUCCAGAUCCGGGAUAAAAAGCAGGAUUUUGGCUGAUCCAGCAAACUCUGGCUUUCCUGAUUCAAACCAGAGAAUCCCAGAUCUGAUCUGGGAACCUGAAUUCAGACCCUCAGAUAAAUCUGGGUAAACCUGGGAAACAUGACUUCAGCCUUCCUGGGCUUCUCCCACUAUUUUCCAAGAGGGAAGGGGGAGAAGAGGGGAGUGAGUAGUCAAUCUGUGUAGGACCUCUCCUUGUCUGCCUGGCUUCUGUGAGUGACACUGGUUCUGUGGGGCUAAGUUGCAACUGUGUCCCUUGCUUCAGUUUGAUAUGGAUAGAAAACAGGGUUGCACUUACCUGUAACUGUUGUUCAUUGAGGUCUUCUGUGCAUUCCCACAUGGGACUGCGCUUGCGCAGGCCUACCAGCCGGAGGAUUUGUAGCUAAUUUUUACCACUAGAGGGCGCUCGACGCCUCCCAGAGUGCAGGCGUGGCUGUUUCUCCACCAAAACAGCCCCUAACCGGGAGGCACGGCACCCUCUGCCCCCAGCUCCUCUUGCCGCCGCACUCCUCAGCAUGAAGAGCACCAGUGGGGAAGGAGGGAGGGCAUGUGUGCCUGCACAGAAGACCUCAGUGAACAACAGUUAUAGGUAAGUGCAGCCCUGUUUUCAUCGUUGGUCUUCUGUGCAUCCCCACAUGGGAGAUCAACAAGCUUCUCACCUGCACGGUGGAGUCUCCUCUUCAGCGAAAGAUGGAUUGCAGGAUGGCUGUGCCCGCUGUUGUCUCUUGUCUGUCAAGGACGUCUAGGGCGUCGUGCCUCACAAAAGUGUCCGCCAACAACCAAAUCGCUGCCCUGCAUAUGUCCAGCAGAGGGACUCCUUUCAGGAAUGCUGUCAGAUACACCCCUGUAUAUCUGCCAUGACUGGAUGUUUGCAUAAUGUCCCGAUCCUCUGAGAAUGUAUAAAGGGCUCCUACUUGCUACUUGGUUGCAAUUAGGUUGCUUAGCUCGCAGGUGUUUUGCUUUCGUUUUCCCAGCCGGCUUGAGAACGUGGCCUUGAAGUGCCAGCUGGAGCCAGUCCUCUCUGAGAACUGUGAUGAACUCAUCUCUCCCUGUUCCCUUCUCCCCGCAAGCCUGGACCCUUCGCGCCAAAACCCUAACGGUCUCCCAUUCCCAGGGGCAGGAACGUUCCCCUAUAAUUAACACUGCUCAUCCACCUUUCGUCACUUCUGCCAAUGACCCUGUCUGAGCACCUUGAUACUGAUACAUCUCUAAUAAAGCAACUUUAACUUUUACAUGAGUGUCUGAAUAAAGCGCUUGGGGACUUAUCUGGCAAGACCUGACAAACACCAUCGAUGUCACCUCUGACCUCAUGGAAUGCGCACGGACUCCCAAAGGACUAGGAAGAAGUUCGAAUAGAAGCCUAACCGCUCCUGCUUGUUGGACACCUGCUGCACAGCCCCCUUUUAAAUGAGUGCCUCUAGCUCAGCCAAGAGUUCAGGUCGUGUGUCAGGAGGUGAUUUACCAGGAAGAUGCAGGCUUCCAAGGCAGCAGGAUGAUAAUCAUCAGGCUAAGAGAUGCAACUCAAAAUGCCAAGGGGGACGGGCAGGGAGGCAGAUGCAAGCAAGGAGGGCCAGCAGAAUUUUCGAUGGACUUUCCCCUUCUUCCUGGAUCGUUGCUCUGCAGAGCACAACGAUUUGACUCCCUGCAGGAGCAGGGCCGGUAAAAACUGCGCGCCAGGGAAGAGCCCUCCCAGAGGGGAUCGUCUGAUUCCACCGACCCUGCUAAGGAGGAGGAGCUACUUCCCAUCAGUCUAGACUGACCCGCUCCUAGACCACGGGAGAAUCUGAUUGAAAGGAUUCGAGACAGCUGAAAUGGAUAAAUGGUUGAGUUUAUUGAAACAGAUGGACAAUACAAUAUAUAAUGACAUUUGGGACCCAUUUUAUAGCUGGAUUCAGAGGAAAUCUGAAGAAACCUAGCUUUCAGAUAGGAUGAAGAUUUUUAUGGACAUUAUUUAAAAUGAAUGGGAAAAUUUGCAAAUAAGCAGCUGAUCUGCAGAACACAUUGAAGAAAUAUAUUAGAUUGUAAGGUGCAAUGUAUUAGUCAUAUAUAAUAUGAAUU
Long non-coding RNA from Eublepharis macularius, 2094 nucleotides. RefSeq lists it as uncharacterized. The record is from RefSeq and is a predicted model, not a curated record. The transcript has 4 exons. Lineage: Eukaryota; Metazoa; Chordata; Lepidosauria; Squamata; Eublepharidae.